This 426-nucleotide ribosomal RNA is filed under the name uncultured bacterium. RNAcentral describes it as "bacterial SSU rRNA". It matches the Rfam family "Bacterial small subunit ribosomal RNA", at positions 356 to 773 of the family's 1533-position model. The record is from RNAcentral.
AGGGAAUCUUCGGCAAUGGACGGAAGUCUGACCGAGCAACGCCGCGUGAGUGAAGAAGGUUUUCGGAUCGUAAAACUCUGUUGUUAGAGAAGAACAAGGAUGAGAGUAGAAUGUUCAUCCCUUGACGGUAUCUAACCAGAAAGCCACGGCUAACUACGUGCCAGCAGCCGCGGUAAUACGUAGGUGGCAAGCGUUGUCCGGAUUUAUUGGGCGUAAAGCGAGCGCAGGCGGUUUCUUAAGUCUGAUGUGAAAGCCCCCGGCUCAACCGGGGAGGGUCAUUGGAAACUGGGAAACUUGAGUGCAGAAGAGGAGAGUGGAAUUCCAUGUGUAGCGGUGAAAUGCGUAGAUAUAUGGAGGAACACCAGUGGCGAAGGCGGCUCUCUGGUCUGUAACUGACGCUGAGGCUCGAAAGCGUGGGGAGCAAAC